RNAcentral lists this transfer RNA (77 nucleotides) under Simiduia agarivorans. RNAcentral's name for it is "tRNA-Arg". It matches the Rfam family "tRNA". Rfam says of the family: Transfer RNA (tRNA) molecules are approximately 80 nucleotides in length. Lineage: Bacteria; Pseudomonadati; Pseudomonadota; Gammaproteobacteria; Cellvibrionales; Cellvibrionaceae. RNAcentral also lists the same sequence under 6 other names. The record is from RNAcentral.
GCACCCUUAGCUCAGCUGGAUAGAGCGCUGCCCUCCGGAGGCAGAGGUCAGAGGUUCGAAUCCUCUAGGGUGCGCCA